GGCGUUGCCUAAUACAUGCAAGUCGAGCGAGCUUGCCUAGAUGAUUUUAGGUGCUUGCACUCAAAUGAAACUAGAUACAAGCGAGCGGCGGACGGGUGAGUAACACGUGGGUAACCUGCCCAAGAGACUGGGAUAACACCUGGAAACAGAUGCUAAUACCGGAUAACAACACUAGACGCAUGUCUAGAGUUUAGAAAGAUGGUUCUGCUAUCACUCUUGGAUGGACCUGCGGUGCAUUAGCUAGUUGGUAAGGUAACGGCUUACCAAGGCAAUGAUGCAUAGCCGAGUUGAGAGACUGAUCGGCCACAUUGGGACUGAGACACGGCCCAAACUCCUACGGGAGGCAGCAGUAGGGAAUCUUCCACAAUGGACGCAAAGUCUGAUGGAGCAACGCCGCGUGAGUGAAGAAAA
RNAcentral lists this ribosomal RNA (411 nucleotides) under Lactobacillus johnsonii. Its description in RNAcentral is "bacterial SSU rRNA". It matches the Rfam family "Bacterial small subunit ribosomal RNA", at positions 41 to 414 of the family's 1533-position model. The record is from RNAcentral. Lineage: Bacteria; Bacillati; Bacillota; Bacilli; Lactobacillales; Lactobacillaceae.